AAAUUUUUGGAGUCAGUACAAAGUUAUACCUCGGAUAUUAUAUUUAUUAGAAUUUUUUAAACAAAGGAGGAACAUUCAUGACGUAGAUCUUCAUCGAAUGGAUUUUUAUAUUCCGCAUUUUGAGAUUUAACAAAUCUAAAGCUCGAAGAGCCAGUCUGACUGAUUUUAUUCAGCCUAGUUUUGAACCGCACUUCAGACAAAUCUUGACGAAUUUAUGGAUAUUCUUAAACCACUAUAAGAAUUCUUUAAUUCGAAAUUGGCACCCGUGACAGAAGAGGAUUACAGUGGAGUUUCAUCUCAUAAUUAUCUAGAACUGGAUCUUAUAACGUCUAUCUGCAAUACACUGCUAAGAGAUAUUCCCACCCACAACAAGAAUCGACAAGUGAAUAAUCAACUUGUCAGAGAUAAAAGCAAUACAGAAAGAUCAAUUUCGAGGCCUAACCGAAUUAUACCUCAACAAAAUAAAUCGCCUCAAGAACAAACAUAUUUAUUGGAUGUUCAACCACUUCAACUUCAUUCUGGAUCAAGUCAAAUUCAUCUAAUUUAAAUGUUAAUUCAUUGAAUACAAAUCAAUUUUUUUCAUCAAGCCGUUUACAAAAUAUGAAUUUUUCAAAAUUUAAAUUUUUAAUGAUUUUUUAUUUUUGAAUGCUCAUAACUUUCUUAAACAUGCAUCAAUUUUCAGUUUUUUUUCAAAAUGUGUGUUAACUGAACUUUUUCAAAAAUUCCAAUCAAAAAUUUAUACAUUAAAAAUUUACUAUAAUUUUUGUAAUUUAAAAAAAAUCAUGUUUUAAAAACUCUUUGUAUUCGUGGAUUUUUUUUAAUUUUCUAAAAAACAAAUUUCUUUUACAAAAAUUUUAAGCCUUGUCCGGUCGUGGGAAAACAUUUUUUCUAUAUUUUCGGAAUUUUUAAUUUAAAUACAUUUUUUAUACCGUAAAUGGGGUAAAGUCGGCGUUAGGGGAAAAGUCAGCGAUUAUUACAAAUUAAUUUAAAAAAUUUCUUUUUUCUUUCCAAUAAAAAAAUCAUUUUAUUAUAAUUACUUUAGUUUGUAUUGUAGGGACGUCAAACAUUACUUUGACAAUUGUUCCAUUCAUAUUAAGUGGAUAAUUUUACUGAAAUAUGUGUUUUUAUACAAAUGUUCAUUUUACAUUUUUACUAAAUAGUUUUGAAAACAUGAUUUUAGAGUUGUAUUUAAAUUUUUUAUGACAAAGUCAACUGAACAACGUAUUUCAAACAUCCCUGGCAUGAUUUACCAUAAAGAUAAAUUGUGAUAAAAUAAACAAGAAUUUUAAAAAACAUUUAUUUACAAAUAUUAUUGAAUUCGGUGGAAAAGUCGACGACAAUAAAAGGGUGUUUAGAUAUUUUUCUGAAAACUAAAUGAAUUUUUUUAUGUAAUGAUAUUAAAGAAGAGAUAUUAAAAGUAUUAACAUUGUAUUUUAUGUUUUUCUCAAAGUUUUUUUUAAGAAAAACUUAAAGA
Long non-coding RNA from Leptopilina boulardi, 1474 nucleotides. RefSeq lists it as uncharacterized. The record is from RefSeq and is a predicted model, not a curated record. The transcript is spliced from 3 exons. Lineage: Eukaryota; Metazoa; Arthropoda; Insecta; Hymenoptera; Figitidae.